RNAcentral lists this ribosomal RNA (499 nucleotides) under uncultured bacterium. Its description in RNAcentral is "bacterial SSU rRNA". It matches the Rfam family "Bacterial small subunit ribosomal RNA", at positions 32 to 518 of the family's 1533-position model. The record is from RNAcentral.
AACGCUGGCGGCAGGCCUAACACAUGCAAGUCGAACGGUAACAGGAAGCAGCUUGCUGCUUCGCUGACGAGUGGCGGACGGGUGAGUAAUGUCUGGGAAACUGCCUGAUGGAGGGGGAGUAACUACUGGAAACGGUAGCUAAUACCGCAUAACGUCGCAAGACCAAAGAGGGGGACCUUCGGGCCUCUUGCCAUCAGAUGUGCCCAGAUGGGAUUAGCUAGUUGGUGGGGUAACGGCUCACCAAGGCGACGAUCCCUAGCUGGUCUGAGAGGAUGACCAGCCACACUGGAACUGAGACACGGUCCAGACUCCUACGGGAGGCAGCAGUGGGGAAUAUUGCACAAUGGGCGCAAGCCUGAUGCAGCCAUGCCGCGUUGUAUGAAGAAGGCCUUCGGGUUGUAAAGUACUUUCAGCGGGGAGGAAGGUGUUGUGGUUAAUAACCGCAGCAAUUGACGUUACCCGCAGAAGAAGCACCGGCUAACUCCGUGCCAGCCGCUGC